This 497-nucleotide ribosomal RNA is filed under the name uncultured bacterium. Its description in RNAcentral is "partial 16S ribosomal RNA". It matches the Rfam family "Bacterial small subunit ribosomal RNA", at positions 28 to 507 of the family's 1533-position model. The record is from RNAcentral.
GAUGAACGAGGGAGGCGUGCCUAAUACAUGCAAGUCGAGCGAACGGACGAGAAGCUUGCUUCUCUGAUGUUAGCGGCGGACGGGUGAGUAACACGUGGAUAACCUACCUAUAAGACUGGGAUAACUUCGGGAAACCGGAGCUAAUACCGGAUAAUAUUUUGAACCGCAUGGUUCAAAAGUGAAAGGCGGUCUUGCUGUCACUUAUAGAUGGAUCCGCGCUGCAUUAGCUAGUUGGUAAGGUAACGGCUUACCAAGGCAACGAUGCAUAGCCGACCUGAGAGGGUGAUCGGCCACACUGGAACUGAGACACGGUCCAGACUCCUACGGGAGGCAGCAGUAGGGAAUCUUCCGCAAUGGGCGAAAGCCUGACGGAGCAACGCCGCGUGAGUGAUGAAGGUCUUCGGAUCGUAAAACUCUGUUAUUAGGGAAGAACAUAUGUGUAAGUAACUGUGCACAUCUUGACGGUACCUAAUCAGAAAGCCACGGCUAACUACGUG